RNAcentral lists this small RNA (2410 nucleotides) under Rattus norvegicus (Norway rat). RNAcentral's name for it is "uncharacterized LOC100911081". The record is from RNAcentral. Lineage: Eukaryota; Metazoa; Chordata; Mammalia; Rodentia; Muridae.
CUGGGUUAAAGAAAGCUGUGAGGAGGUUCUUUACGCGGCCUUUGAGAGAUCCAAAAGCACAGGCAGAAGCGGGAAGGAGACAGUUCAGUCUGAGCCACACAACCCAGCCUCCUCUAGAAAGCCAAGGUGGCUGGCCCACUCGAGCCUGGUUCCGUUUCUACUUGAACAGUUUACUUUUACCCAGGAGGAACCAGGGAGGCUCGUGAGAAGCCUUGCCAUUCUCAGAAAUCAGGGAACACGUUAAGACGUUUGCUAGGUGAGAAGCCAGGGAUACGGCACCGUGAGAUCAGGACGGCUGAGGAUCUGGAGUUUGAUAGCAGCCCGAGCUACAGAGUGAGAUCCUGUCAUAAACAAACGGACAACUGAAUGACUCCACUGGCUUUUAGCCUUCCCAGUAUUAGGUGAAUGUUGUGAUUGCUCAGAGUCCUCAUGGCAGCAGCAACGGUGUCUCUGUCAAGUCCUGUGGUGGUGCGCAUACAGAGUUGCUCAUCUGCCCCCAACCGGCCCUCGGCCCGCGCCUGGGCACGGAUGCCCUCAAAGAAGCAGCACCAUCUCAGGGUGCCCGCACUUACAGAGCUCAGGUUUACUCUCCACGGUUCUCCCAGAACAAAGCAGCCCUCAGUGCUGCAGGGCUGCCAUGCCCUUGUUAACCAGAACAUGAGGGCCGACCUCCCCUUCUUCGGACAAGCUGGACCACGUUGAAGCUGUAAACAGGCCCAUAAAUCAGCUGCCCUACAAUGGCAGAGUUCUUGCGAGCCCUCAAGCCCCAUAUGCAUUCCUCCUGGUUAAUGAAUACCGAGGUAGAGCCGCUGUUCUACUCAGUGGAAGCCGAGUUAGAACCAGAAGAUGGAUAUGUGAAAAUCAGCUGCCCAGGAAAACCAAAGCCACCGAAGGAAACUGACUUCAAAGGCCUCCAGUCUCCUCUACGCAAUGCUUUGCCAGCUGAGUAAUUUGUAUGACAAAGCAGAUGCGCAUGAACCCAGCCCUGUGAGUGCAUUUUGCUCCCGUCCCAGGUGAGAGGGUUUUUCUUUUAAAAACUGUCUUCACCUCUUCUACUUGGAGUGCCGUGUGGAACCUCUGGUGUAAGGAGAAGCUUUCUAAAAGUCCAGAGGCCUCACUGCCCCCUCUAUGGCUUUUCCUGGCUCCCGAGUGCAUUCAGAGCACACUUCUCAGCAGCUUGUGGUGGGUUAGAUCCUACGGGUUUUCUUCCUUCCCUUCCAUUUUAUGAAAGAAAGAGUUUAUUUUGGACAGGGCAGCGGUGGUGCACUUUUAGUCCCAUCAUUCAGGAGACGGAGGCAGGCAGAUCAUUGUGAGUUUGAGGUCAACCUGAUCUAUAGACUGAGUUCUAAGACAGUCAAGGUUACAGAGAGAAACCCUGUCUCAAAACAAACAAACAAACAAACAAAGAGUUGAUCUUGGUUUAAUGUUUAAUGGGGUCAGAGUUCAUCAUGGUAGGGAAAUAUGGCAGCAAGCUUCAGGCACAGCGACAGAAGCUGAGAGCUGGUAACCAUGCACAGCAGAGAGAGAAGGAAAAGUGGGGUGAGGCUAAGUUGACCCCCCAGUGAUGUGCUUCCUACAGCCAGGCUCCACCUCCCAAAGGUUCCACAAAUUCCCCAAAACAGCACCCACCCUACAGCCUUUCUUAACAGAUGAAGUAAAACAAGUUCUUGCUGAUGCCUGGAGAUCCUGUAAAGAUGAGACACCCCAAGUCUCUGAAACAGAAGACAAGAGGAAUACUCAGAGACUAAGAAAAAACAAGCACAGGGGUGAUGGCUUAGUGGUGAAGGUGCCUGUCACUCAACAAAGGAGGACCUGAGUUCAAAGCUCCACUACUCACGUAACAUUCUCCGCUCAUCCCGGUGCUGGGGAGGUGGACACAAGAGCAUCUCUGCAGCUUGCUGGCCAUCCAGCCAAAUCAGUGUGCUUUGGGUUCAAAAAGUGGGGUGGAAAGAAGGAAGAGGAAGACAUCAGGUCGAAUAUCUGAAAAAUAUAUUCACCCGCAUAUUUCAAAAGAAAAGGAAUGCAGUGAACAUGCCCAGGUUGAUGGGAAGCUCAGGUCUGCACACGUGCUUCUGACAAGAUCAUCUGACAUGAGCCGGCCGAGAGUGCUCUCCUCAGCUCCAUGCUGCAAGCUAUCAGCCAGCAUAGGAAAUCUGAAGUGGCAAUCCCUUCCACAUCCAGGAAUGAAUUCCUGCUGUCUGCACCAUCCAUGGCUGCUCCUGACUUUGGGAGUUCUCAUGGACUUCCACAGCUAUUCCUUUUCCAGAAACAGGCCAGCGGAAGGCAAGACCAAAGCCCACCCUCUCUACCCAGAUUGCUACCUUUAAUGGAGAAAGAAACAUGCAUGCACACAGGCAAAAGCCUGCUCUCUCUCUCUCUCUCUCUCUCUCUCUCUCUCUCUCUCUCUCUC